UACCAUCAUUGAAAAUUGCUGAUCCAGCCCUGGGGAGGAGAGUGAUGUGGGCUCUGGUGGGCAAAGACUUCAUUGAGAUCCUGACCAAGAAGCAGCACCGCCUGUUGGAGGAGGAGAGGUGAAAGAAGGAGGAAGCCCUCCAGGUUCCUGUCAAAGGCCAAAGUCUUACCUCUCAGAUUCCUCUUGGUUUGCGAAGAAGCAGAACACCCUGUGUCUGGAGCAGGGCGAUGGGCCUAUGCCUGGCAGCAGCCUGGGCACCAAAAUCUGGGAGAGCAGCACUCAAGGUAGGAGCUUGUGUU
This 299-nucleotide long non-coding RNA is filed under the name Bos indicus x Bos taurus (hybrid cattle). RNAcentral's name for it is "lncRNA (ENSBIXG00005014296.1)". Lineage: Eukaryota; Metazoa; Chordata; Mammalia; Artiodactyla; Bovidae. The record is from RNAcentral.